RNAcentral lists this unclassified non-coding RNA (313 nucleotides) under uncultured Aspergillus. Its description in RNAcentral is "sequence contains ITS1". The stretch from base 1 to 105 matches the Rfam family "5.8S ribosomal RNA", at positions 50 to 154 of the family's 154-position model. The record is from RNAcentral. RNAcentral also lists the same sequence under 1 other name. Lineage: Eukaryota; Fungi; Ascomycota; Eurotiomycetes; Eurotiales; Aspergillaceae.
GAAAUGCGAUAAGUAAUGUGAAUUGCAGAAUUCAGUGAAUCAUCGAGUCUUUGAACGCACAUUGCGCCCCCUGGUAUUCCGGGGGGCAUGCCUGUCCGAGCGUCAUUGCUGCCCUCAAGCACGGCUUGUGUGUUGGGCCCCCGUCCCCGGUUUCCCCCGGGGACGGGCCCGAAAGGCAGCGGCGGCACCGCGUCCGGUCCUCGAGCGUAUGGGGCUUUGUCACCCGCUCUGUAGGCCCGGCCGGCGCCAGCCGACACCCAACUUUAUUUCUAAGGUUGACCUCGGAUCAGGUAGGGAUACCCGCUGAACUUAA